RNAcentral lists this non-coding RNA (228 nucleotides) under Rhizobium sp. Lineage: Bacteria; Pseudomonadati; Pseudomonadota; Alphaproteobacteria; Hyphomicrobiales; Rhizobiaceae. The record is from RNAcentral.
ACUAUAUCUAGUGUUCAAGGUUCCUUCGAUUCGCUAGGGAUCGCAGGCUAAGAUGGGAAUACGGUGCGUUUUGCCAUGAGGGCAAAACAAGGCCGGAGCUGCCCCCGCAACUGUAAGCGGCGAGCAACUGUCCGAUUUCAGGUCACUGAGGCAUGAAGCUUUGGGAAGGCUGGGGGCAGGGUGCUUCGACCCGCGAGCCAGGAGACCUGCCUUGAACUAGAUGUCCAC